UGAGCUUAACACGUUUAUGGUUAAGUGAGUUAAACGGAAGUGCAGGCUAAUGGCUCGGGGAAGCUGACACGCGGAUGAUGACGGCGAUGGCGUGAAGGUUGGAACGGAGAAGAAGAAGAAUUUGGUUCGCCGACGAUUCAAUCGGCGGUUGAUAGUGGCGAAUGUUUUAUGGAAGAGACGUUGGUGUUUGGUUUCAGUGAAUGACGGCCAUGGUGGUUACGUUCUUUCAUGGCGGUAUGUGAUGUGGGGGUGGUUUGUGAGUCACCAGCGAGCCUUUGAUAACGGUGAAGGUCGCGUUACCGGCGUUUGAAGGAGAUGGUCGUUUAGACGUGACGACGGCGAUGGCGUAUAAGGUGUUAUUUGGGGGCAGAAAAAUGUGCAAAGACGGAGGAGAUGAAGGGAGGAGGUAACAGUGGGAAGGAAGAGGAACAGUGGAAGAGUGAUGAUGUUCGGUGGAGAAGUGAAGGGAGGAGAAGAAGUGUCCAGGGAAAAACCAAAAGGCUUUUUUCUUCUUUUCUGUUUUAUAUUUUCAUUAUAUCCAAGAGAGAGUAGGCUAGUGUAGGCUUCUCUUUUUAUUUUCCACUUUUUCGUUUUCCCUUUUAUUGACAGUAUGUGAGUGGGUUCCAAUGAAUCUCCUUUUUGUCCACAGGAAAAGCCCCUUCCUUU
RNAcentral lists this long non-coding RNA (666 nucleotides) under Lathyrus oleraceus (garden pea). RNAcentral's name for it is "Pisum sativum (pea) long non-coding RNA (PSAT_LNC021891)". Lineage: Eukaryota; Viridiplantae; Streptophyta; Magnoliopsida; Fabales; Fabaceae. The record is from RNAcentral.